This 795-nucleotide ribosomal RNA is filed under the name uncultured Burkholderia sp. Its description in RNAcentral is "bacterial SSU rRNA". It matches the Rfam family "Bacterial small subunit ribosomal RNA", at positions 65 to 852 of the family's 1533-position model. The record is from RNAcentral. Lineage: Bacteria; Pseudomonadati; Pseudomonadota; Betaproteobacteria; Burkholderiales; Burkholderiaceae.
AACGGCAGCACGGGGGCAACCCUGGUGGCGAGUGGCGAACGGGUGAGUAACACAUCGGAACGCGUCCUGUAAUGGGGGAUAACCUGGCGAAAGCCAGGCUAAUACCGCAUACGUCCUGAGGGAGAAAGCGGGGGAUUGGCAACGACCUCGCGUUAUAGGAGUGGCCGAUGUCGGAUUAGCUAGUUGGUGGGGUAAAGGCCUACCAAGGCGACGAUCCGUAGCUGGUCUGAGAGGACGACCAGCCACACUGGGACUGAGACACGGCCCAGACUCCUACGGGAGGCAGCAGUGGGGAAUUUUGGACAAUGGGGGCAACCCUGAUCCAGCCAUUCCGCGUGAGUGAAGAAGGCCUUCGGGUUGUAAAGCUCUUUCGGCCGGGAAGAAAUCGCAUCUCCUAAUACGGGGUGUGGAUGACGGUACCGGAAGAAGAAGCACCGGCUAACUACGUGCCAGCAGCCGCGGUAAAACGUAGGAGGCGAGCGUUAUCCGGAUUUACUGGGUGUAAAGCGCAUGCAGGCGGUUCGCUAAGUUGGAUGUGAAAGCUCCUGGCUUAACUGGGAGAGGUCGUUCAAGACUGACGAACUAGAGGAUGGUAAGGGAAAGCGGAAUUCCGGGUGUAGUGGUGAAAUGCGUAGAUAUCCGGAGGAACACCAGUGGCGAAGGCGGCUUUCUGGGCCAUGACUGACGCUCAGAUGCGAAAGCUAGGGUAGCAAACGGGAUUAGAGACCCCGGUAGUCCUAGCCGUAAACGAUGUGAACUUGGCGGUGGAUGGGUAAAACCGAUCACUGCCGCAGC